This 467-nucleotide ribosomal RNA is filed under the name uncultured bacterium. RNAcentral's name for it is "partial 16S ribosomal RNA". It matches the Rfam family "Bacterial small subunit ribosomal RNA", at positions 29 to 507 of the family's 1533-position model. The record is from RNAcentral.
ACGCACGCUGGCGGCGUGCUUCACCCAUGCAAUUCGAACGGAAAGGCCCUGCUUUUGUGGGGUGCUCGCGUGGCGAACGGGUGAGUAACACGUGAGUAACCUGCCCUUGACUUUGGGAUAACUUCAGGAAACUGGGGCUAAUACCGGAUAGGAGCUCCUGCUGCAUGGUGGGGGUUGGAAAGUUUCGGCGGUUGGGGAUGGACUCGCGGCUUAUCAGCUUGUUGGUGGGGUAGUGGCUUACCAAGGCUUUGACGGGUAGCCGGCCUGAGAGGGUGACCGGCCACAUUGGGACUGAGAUACGGCCCAGACUCCUACGGGAGGCAGCAGUGGGGAAUAUUGCACAAUGGGCGGAAGCCUGAUGCAGCAACGCCGCGUGCGGGAUGACGGCCUUCGGGUUGUAAACCGCUUUCGCCUGUGACGAAGCGUGAGUGACGGUAAUGGGUAAAGAAGCACCGGCUAACUACGUG